AUUGAACGCUGGCGGCAGGCCUAACACAUGCAAGUCGAGCGGAUGAAGGGAGCUUGCUCCUGGAUUCAGCGGCGGACGGGUGAGUAAUGCCUAGGAAUCUGCCUUGUAGUGGGGGAUAACGUCCGGUAACGGGCGCUAAUACCGCAUACGUCCUUAGGGAGAAAGUGGGGGAUCUUCGGACCUCACGCUAUCAGAUGAGCCUAGGUCGUAUUAGCUAGUUGGUGAGGUAAAGGCCUACCAAGGCGACGAUCCGUAACUGGUCUGAGAGGAUGAUCAGUCACACUGGAACUGAGACACGGUCCAGACUCCUACGGGAGGCAGCAGUGGGGAAUAUUGGACAAUGGGCGAAAGCCUGAUCCAGCAAUGCCGCGUGUGUGAAGAAGGUCUUCGGAUUGUAAAGCACUUUAAGUUGGGAGGAAGGGCAGUAAGUUAAUACCUUGCUGUUUUGACGUUACCAACAGAAUAAGCACCGGCUAACUUCGUG
This 484-nucleotide ribosomal RNA is filed under the name uncultured bacterium. Its description in RNAcentral is "partial 16S ribosomal RNA". It matches the Rfam family "Bacterial small subunit ribosomal RNA", at positions 30 to 507 of the family's 1533-position model. The record is from RNAcentral.